This is a long non-coding RNA of Hyla sarda, 471 nucleotides long. RefSeq lists it as uncharacterized. The record is from RefSeq and is a predicted model, not a curated record. Lineage: Eukaryota; Metazoa; Chordata; Amphibia; Anura; Hylidae. The transcript is spliced from 4 exons.
UGGAAAAAGCAAAUUGUGAAAUCUAUUAUGGUAUUUCCGACCUCAAUGUAAUGCUGGUUUUAUGUUGGUUUUUAGUCUGAUGUCCAGUAGUCGACAAUAUGCUGCUACAUAAUGCAGCUGAUAGGUAAAGGACAAUAUGAGAAAGCAGCAACAGACAGAUCUGGAUAGGGAGAGGUCUGGAGCUAGUAGCUAGCAGUCUAACCCAAGACUGAAGUCCUCUUGUUUUUUAUAAGCAUGCAAAGAACAGAGCCAUCAAAGCGUUCGGUAGAUGAAUCAAGAACAAAACUGUCCCGGGAGCUCGAGAACACAGAAUAGAUUGUUAUUGAAAGUGAAGUAACAAUUAUCUUGCUGAAUAGAUGACACUUUGGUUAUUUCCUGACAUGGACAUAGAUGGCAGCAGAGAGCAUUGUGGUCAGACUGGAAAGACCUACACAACUUCCUCUGGGGCAUAGAGCAGCUGAUAAGUACUGG